This 253-nucleotide ribosomal RNA is filed under the name uncultured bacterium. RNAcentral's name for it is "partial 16S ribosomal RNA". It matches the Rfam family "Bacterial small subunit ribosomal RNA", at positions 524 to 776 of the family's 1533-position model. The record is from RNAcentral.
UACGUAGGUGGCUAGCGUUGUCCGGAUUUACUGGGCGUAAAGCGCGCGCAGGCGGUCGUUCAAGUCGAGUGUGAAAGCCCCGGGCUUAACCUGGGAAUGGCCAUGGAAACUGGCGAACUGGAGUGUGGCAGAGGGGGGUGGAAUUCCGCGUGUAGCAGUGAAAUGCGUAGAGAUGCGGAGGAACACCGAUGGCGAAGGCAGCCCCCUGGGCUAGCACUGACGCUCAGGCACGAAAGCGUGGGGAGCAAACAGG